This 253-nucleotide ribosomal RNA is filed under the name uncultured bacterium. Its description in RNAcentral is "partial 16S ribosomal RNA". It matches the Rfam family "Bacterial small subunit ribosomal RNA", at positions 524 to 776 of the family's 1533-position model. The record is from RNAcentral.
UACGGGGGGGGCAAGCGUUGUUCGGAAUUACUGGGCGUAAAGGGCUCGUAGGUGGCCAACUAAGUCGGACGUGAAAUCCCUCGGCUUAACCGGGGAACUGCGUCUGAUACUGGAUGGCUUGAGUUCGGGAGAGGGAUGCGGAAUUCCAGGUGUAGCGGUGAAAUGCGUAGAUAUCUGGAGGAACACCGGUGGCGAAGGCGGCGUUCUGGACUGUUUCUGACACUGAAAAACGAAAGCCAGGGGAGCAAACGGG